This 468-nucleotide ribosomal RNA is filed under the name uncultured bacterium. RNAcentral describes it as "partial 16S ribosomal RNA". It matches the Rfam family "Bacterial small subunit ribosomal RNA", at positions 28 to 507 of the family's 1533-position model. The record is from RNAcentral.
GACGAACGCUGGCGGCGUGCUUAACACAUGCAAGUCGAACGGAAAGGCCCUGCUUUUGUGGGGUGCUCGAGUGGCGAACGGGUGAGUAACACGUGAGUAACCUGCCCUUGACUUUGGGAUAACUUCAGGAAACUGGGGCUAAUACCGGAUAGGAGCUCCUGCUGCAUGGUGGGGGUUGGAAAGUUUCGGCGGUUGGGGAUGGACUCGCGGCUUAUCAGCUUGUUGGUGGGGUAGUGGCUUACCAAGGCUUUGACGGGUAGCCGGCCUGAGAGGGUGACCGGCCACAUUGGGACUGAGAUACGGCCCAGACUCCUACGGGAGGCAGCAGUGGGGAAUAUUGCACAAUGGGCGGAAGCCUGAUGCAGCAACGCCGCGUGCGGGAUGACGGCCUUCGGGUUGUAAACCGCGUUCGCCUGUGACGAAGCGUGAGGGACGGUAAUGGGUAAAGAAGCACCGGCUAACUACGUG